This 988-nucleotide long non-coding RNA is filed under the name Mytilus galloprovincialis (Mediterranean mussel). The record is from RNAcentral. Lineage: Eukaryota; Metazoa; Mollusca; Bivalvia; Mytilida; Mytilidae.
UGUUGGUGUUUUUGGCGACUAUAGCAGCAACAUUGCCGUUAUUAAAUAAAAAUAUAAAAUUUUCGCUAUCUGAUAAUUAUAGGUUAAAAUGCUCAUUAAAAUGUAUAAUAUUUGUCUUAAAACUACAUAGAAUGACAUGAAGUUCAUCUUCAAUAGUAGAGCUACAACACAUGUCAUCUCGUGGACUUCUUUUCUUUCAUACUUUCCAGUUUCUAUUUUUUUUAGUGGAGCUACCCCACAUUUAAAUUUUGCAAAAGCACAUUUGUUUUUAAUUGACAUAAUAUUUUUAACAAAUAACUACGGAAGCGUAUUAGCGCCACACAUUUUUUUUUAUUUUUCUUCCUAUGUUUGCGUUAAACGCAAACCUUUGCGUUAUAUACGCGUUGCGUUAGAAAAACCUUGCGUUAUAACGCAAACCUUUUUGUGUUAUAACGCAAACCUUUGCGUUUAACGCAAACCUUUUGCGUUAUAACGCAAACCUUUGCGUUUAACGCAAACAUUUGUUUUAUCUUAUUUCUUAUUCAAGAUUCAAAGGAAACAGUAGUUAUUAAUGGAGGAGGCUGUAUAUAAUAGAAUUUAUCACCUUUGUAGUAAUUGCAAAGUAAACUGCUUGAAUAAUUAGAUCAUAUCAAUGACUAAUAAUGAACAGAAUAAUAUAAGAAGAUGUGGUAUGAGUGACAAUAAGAAAACUCUCCAUCUAAGUCACUAUUCGUAAAAGUAAACCAUCAUAGGCCGAAUUACGGUCUUCAACACGGAGCAUUGGCUCACACUAAACAACAAACUAUAAAGGUCCCCAAAAACGAUAUCCAAGUUACUACUAGUAUAUAUAUUACAAAGAAAAUUGAGUAAAUUGAGGUUAUACCUAAGAAAAAAAUCAACCCUGCUAAUAUAGCUAUAACCGAAUAUAAAUAUACUUCCAAAGUAAGCUCUCGUUUGAGAACUGUGUAAAGUAGGUUACAUUCAAACAAGCUACCCUUUGGCAAUAAAU